Long non-coding RNA from Gasterosteus aculeatus aculeatus (three-spined stickleback), 1487 nucleotides. The record is from Ensembl. NCBI's taxonomy places the organism in Eukaryota, Metazoa, Chordata, Actinopteri, Perciformes, Gasterosteidae.
GUUUUGUCAACAGCGAUGAUGAAGUGAUGAAGCCUUUUGGAGCACAACUGACACCGACUGGGAAUCCCGAUCGGUGAAGCCGUUUGUUUAGUGGGAGCGGAGCGUUGUGUCGAGGCGCAGAUCGUUGCACUAAGUACACCCGCACCUUCAGAAUUAUUUUCCGACUUGUUGAGACGGUGAGUCAACACACUGUCAUUACAUGCAAAGUGUCCUUUUUAAAAAACCUCUCUCGGGAAGUACAAGUAGAUAUGCAGCAAGCAGCCGACAGCUCCGGUUUCCAGUAAUGUGUUGACGAACAUAACUAUGCCACAGCUACUCAACCUGUGUGUGUGUGUGUGUGUGUGUGUGUGUGUGUGUGUGUGUGUGUGUGUGUGUGGCUCUGAGGUGAGCUUUGUAGCCUUUCCACCAUGUGCUUCCUGUUUGUUGCACCUUCUUCGGUCCGACCAACCCCUGCUUGUCCCAGGCGCGUUUCUCAUUCACAGGCGCACGCACAAACAAGUCACACAAAAUAAAUGAUCCUUCACACAGAAAAACCACAGACGGCACAUUUUCCACUAGUUGAAGGAACUUUGUGAUGCUGUUUCCCAGAAGCUGCUUUUCCCUUCUGUCAUGCUGUGCAUGACGUCCUCUUGCGCGGUUUGGUGUGUUGUAAGCAUGUAUGUCUGCACGGCCCCAUGUGUGUUUUAUGUGUUUAUUUAUGCAGGUUUUGUUUGUUACAUGAGAUUGCGUGUGUGUGUCUUCGAGCUCUUCAAGCAUGUGCAACAAGUAAUUCAGGUGUUUGAAUAUCCUGUAAAAAUAAAGUGCUCCAUAAGGUUCAAGUGCUCACACAAACACACACGCAUGCCUCGCAGACACGGCACAGAAUGACUCAAAUUAAAGUGACUUCGUCCCUGCAGGUCUUUUGUUGUUGUUGUUGUUGUUUUCCUGUGUCUCUCUAAUCAUUUUGCCCUUUUCUCUUACAGUAUCAGACCAAAAGUAAAUUUACAAACCUCACCUGUGCUCGUCUCCAUCCUUCAUCAUGUGCAAAACAGCGUUAUUUUGCCAUCUAAACGGUUGUUUUAUAUUGUCAGUUGAAAAAACCAGCAAUGAAGUAUUUCACCGGGAUUUGCAGUUUUUCUUGCUCCUAGAAGCGUAAAAUGAAGAAGCUUCCCAAACACACGGGAAGACACACACACCUCACUCCUCGACUUGCACUUAAAGUUAAUCUUUUAUUUAAUGGAACAGUUUGGAUCUGAAAAUGUCAUUUUAUUGGACUAUUUUAAAUGUGCAAGUGAAGACCGACCAGUACAACUGUCCAUUUUCUCCUUAUGUCUGCAGAUUCCUCACAUAAGGUCUCUUUCCAUUAUUCAAAAGGGAUAUCUAAUAUUCAUACCUAAAUGAAAGCUGCUCUAUAAUGUAGUGUGAAAUAAGAAGUGGAAGAUGGGAGCAAGGGACAAGGAGGAAGGAUGGGACUAGAGGUCAGAGACAUUGUGUGUGUGUGUGUGUGU